Molecule: microRNA precursor, 88 nt
Filed under: Capnocytophaga canimorsus Cc5
Lineage: Bacteria; Pseudomonadati; Bacteroidota; Flavobacteriia; Flavobacteriales; Flavobacteriaceae
Description: putative microRNA
Source: RNAcentral
UCAACGGAAGCGGUUACAUUGUUAAACGGGAGCGUACCUGUUAGUAAAUAGGUGCGCUCCCGUUAAUCAAUAGAUACGUAUCGGUUGA